AGAGUUUGAUCAUGGCUCAGAUUGAACGCUGGCGGCAGGCCUAACACAUGCAAGUCGAACGGUAGCACAGAGAGCUUGCUCUCGGGUGACGAGUGGCGGACGGGUGAGUAAUGUCUGGGAAACUGCAUGAUGGAGGGGGAUAACUACUGGAAACGGUAGCUAAUACCGCAUAACGUCGCAAGACCAAAGAGGGGGACCUUCGGGCCUCUUGCCAUCAGAUGUGCCCAGAUGGGAUUAGCUAGUAGGUGGGGUAACGGCUCACCUAGGCGACGAUCCCUAGCUGGUCUGAGAGGAUGACCAGCCACACUGGAACUGAGACACGGUCCAGACUCCUACGGGAGGCAGCAGUGGGGAAUAUUGCACAAUGGGCGCAAGCCUGAUGCAGCCAUGCCGCGUGUAUGAAGAAGGCCUUCGGGUUGUAAAGUACUUUCAGCGGGGAGGAAGGUGUUGAGGUUAAUAACCUCAGCAAUUGACGUUACCCGCAGAAGAAGCACCGGCUAACUCCGUGCCAGCAGCCGCGGUAAUACGGAGGGUGCAAGCGUUAAUCGGAAUUACUGGGCGUAAAGCGCACGCAGGCGGUCUGUCAAGUCGGAUGUGAAAUCCCCGGGCUCAACCUGGGAACUGCAUUCGAAACUGGCAGGCUAGAGUCUUGUAGAGGGGGGUAGAAUUCCAGGUGUAGCGGUGAAAUGCGUAGAGAUCUGGAGGAAUACCGGUGGCGAAGGCGGCCCCCUGGACAAAGACUGACGCUCAGGUGCGAAAGCGU
This 763-nucleotide ribosomal RNA is filed under the name uncultured bacterium. Its description in RNAcentral is "bacterial SSU rRNA". It matches the Rfam family "Bacterial small subunit ribosomal RNA", at positions 8 to 762 of the family's 1533-position model. The record is from RNAcentral.